RNA transcript from Gossypium arboreum, 1432 nucleotides. RefSeq lists it as uncharacterized. The transcript is spliced from 6 exons. NCBI's taxonomy places the organism in Eukaryota, Viridiplantae, Streptophyta, Magnoliopsida, Malvales, Malvaceae. The record is from RefSeq and is a predicted model, not a curated record.
UGACAGAAAAAGUCAUUUAUUACUUUAUUAGAUUCGGGUGAUUAAAAGUAUGGAUAAACUCAGCAAGACAAAUAGACUCUAAGGUGAUCUUUCAAGUGCCGAUGUUACCUCAACAAGUUGGGAGGUGCUCCUCCCAUCAUCCUUGGUGCUGGCUUAGGCCACGGACUUAUUGGAGUAACCAAAUGCCACAGGUCUCAGGUUCGAGGGCCGUGAGAGAGAGCAGAGAGAGAAUGAAGCAAACAAAGAAAAACCAAAUGAGCACGGAGGGCAAUAAUCAACGGCAAUGGCAAUAUUAUCACACUAUUUACACCAAUGUCAAAACAGGAUUUUAGAGCUUGAAACUACGCUUGAGCUUUCCAUGAUUUGGUACAUGUAGAUAUGGAUGCGUUUUAGGCGGCUGAUGAAACUUUUGAGUAAAUCCUUCAUUUAAGGUUAUAUGAUGAAGCUUACCUUGAUAUUUCCGAGAUCUGCAAAGAAAGAAGCUUUACUGGUGGAGUAAAUUUGUACCAUCAUUUUGGCAUUCUGACUGCUUCUGUGAUAGGCGUUUAAGCUGAUGCCUUUCUUUUAUCUUCCUAUUCAGAUUGCUUAAGAAUUCAGAUCUCUGAGUACACGAAGAGACUGGUUUGACAUGUAGAAUAGCAGUGCCUCCAAAUUGCUUACUAUGUUCUGUUUUUAGCACAUAAUUGCUCUUGGCAAGUUGCAUCUGCAAAACCCAUUAUUGCAUUGGCAUAUGUCUAUAAUUUCCAAUGGGAAGUCAUUGCUCCAGAUUGUUGAGGUCCAUAUUGAUGUUGGAUGAGAAUAGGGCAAUCUUUUGUUGAUUAGCAGUACAUUGUUGUUGAGUGCUGAAUUAUUAUUUGUUAUGUGGUUAUUUAUCAGAUACAGGUGAAAACAAUUACAUUCUGGUAAAAAGAGCUUGAGGAAAUGGAUAAAAUUCAUGAACUUUCAAGCUACAAAACUGUGACUAUGAUAAUCAUUAAAGUUUAUUACCAAUUAUUUAACUAGACUAGUCGCUAGAUCUUCACGUGUUCAUCCUCAAUACUUCUUCUAGUGUGGAAGAUUCCUGAUUGAUGGCCAAAAAAACAAGACUGCUGAUUGUAUAGCGUGUACUCAAUCUCCCCCAAAACAAGCAUUACGAAGAAGAUUCUUCUGCCGAGUGGGAGCCUGGAGACUGCAAUCCUGAUGGAACAAAUAAAGAACUUAGCACCUCACUAUCUCAGGGAAUGAGGAAUCUUUUUCAUCAAAUCACAAGUUUUGUUGAAGAAAACCAAAAGCACUCUUCAGUCGGAGGAAUCUGGCACAGAUUCGAGCCCAUUGAUGCCAAGGAAAAGAUACUACAAGUUGAUGUGUAUAAUAUAAGCAAAAUGCGUUCAGGGCUGAUAAUUUGCUUUAACUUCGAUAUAAUAUUUGUUCUUAAGUUUAGUUUGGGGAAAAA